GAGAGAUGGUCGAGUGGACUAAGGCGCCACAUUGGAAAUGUGGUGUGUCGCAAGGCACCGAGGGUUCGAAUCCCUCUCUCUCC
RNAcentral lists this transfer RNA (83 nucleotides) under bovine gut metagenome. It matches the Rfam family "tRNA". From Rfam's summary of the family: Transfer RNA (tRNA) molecules are approximately 80 nucleotides in length. Their secondary structure includes four short double-helical elements and three loops (D, anti-codon, and T loops). Further hydrogen bonds mediate the characteristic L-shaped molecular structure. tRNAs have two regions of fundamental functional importance: the anti-codon, which is responsible for specific mRNA codon recognition, and the 3' end, to which the tRNAs corresponding amino acid is attached (by aminoacyl-tRNA synthetases). tRNAs cope with the degeneracy of the genetic code in two manners: having more than one tRNA (with a specific anti-codon) for a particular amino acid; and 'wobble' base-pairing, i.e. permitting non-standard base-pairing at the 3rd anti-codon position. The record is from RNAcentral.